Molecule: long non-coding RNA, 796 nt
Filed under: Homo sapiens (human)
Lineage: Eukaryota; Metazoa; Chordata; Mammalia; Primates; Hominidae
Description: HSALNT0069401
Source: RNAcentral
CGGAGGACACCGCAGCUGGAGGAGGGUUUCCGCCGGUUGUGCGGGGACCGCGGCUCAGUAGUGUGGGUGGACGAGGACAGCGGGUGGAACUGGUCCUUCUGUGACUUUGCAGCCCCGGCUUGGUGAUAAUUUUUGUGCAGGCUUCUUGACAUGGAAAGCAGAGCUCCCCAGCACAGACCUCCUGCAGCCCCCGCCAGCUCCCGGGCUCCAUCCCUCACCAUCAGUUGCUGAUUGGCGCCCCCUGCGUGCACAACGGAGGCUGGCUGCACCUGGAGGUUCCCAGCAAUUCCAGGCCGGCUCCAGCCUAGCCAAAGCAGCUAACUUCUCUGCUGUCUCGUGGGCUGAACCUCACCGUUUCCCAAGAGGAGCUGCCUGGCAAUGGUAGCAGGUGAAGGUCAUGGUGAAGAAGAUGCAGAUAUUGGCAAUUUGGAGCAUUAGAUGAACUAAUUACAACGUUAACCUAAGGAACAGUGCAACAGAAAAUGGGCUAAGACAUGGAGCAAGGGGCAGAACGACUCUUGAAGAUGCUGAGCAACUUCUGGAGGCCAUCUGUUGAGAUGAGAACCUGUGAAGAUGGAAGGAACCUAGAUGUUUGAGUCAUGGGGUGGAGAAGAGACCAUGUAAACCUACAUUGAAAUUUGUGUGACUCCCUCCCCCUCAACCAGCUUAGAAGUCGGGUGGAAGAGGAAGCUGGAUGGAACAACAUGAGCCCUGGUCAGGGCAGACUUAAGCCAGGAGAUGAAGUGCCAUAUACAGAGAAAACCUCAGUGGGAUCCCAGAUGGAGCACAAUUCCUG